GAAGGACAGCAGCUAUGGCAGGAUCAAGAGCUUGGUGGUCGAGGAGAUGAAGCAGUACUUCCGACCGGAGUUUCUCAACCGUCUCGACGAGAUGAUCGUCUUCAGACAGCUGACCAAGCUGGAAGUCAAAGAGAUCGCGAACAUAAUGCUGCAGGAGGUUUUCACCAGGCUGAAGAGCAAGGACAUCAACCUGCAGGUGACGGAGAAGUUCAAGGAGCGGGUCGUGGACGAAGGGUACAACCCUAGCUACGGAGCGCGGCCAUUGAGGAGGGCGAUCAUGAGGCUUCUGGAGGACAGCCUUGCGGAGAAGAUUUUGGGCGGGGAGGUCAAGG
RNAcentral lists this long non-coding RNA (332 nucleotides) under Hordeum vulgare. RNAcentral's name for it is "long non-coding RNA (HVUL_LNC012122)". Lineage: Eukaryota; Viridiplantae; Streptophyta; Magnoliopsida; Poales; Poaceae. The record is from RNAcentral.